Molecule: ribosomal RNA, 394 nt
Filed under: Clostridioides difficile
Lineage: Bacteria; Bacillati; Bacillota; Clostridia; Peptostreptococcales; Peptostreptococcaceae
Description: partial 23S ribosomal RNA
Rfam family: Bacterial large subunit ribosomal RNA
Source: RNAcentral
GGUCAAGUUAUUAAGGGUGCAGGGCGGAUGCCUUGGCACUAGGAGCCGAUGAAGGACGUGAUAAGCUGCGAUAAGCUUCGGGGAGUUGCACGUAAACUUUGAUCCGAAGAUUUCCGAAUGAGGAAACUCACUUAGAGUAAUGUCUAAGUAUCAUUAAGUGAAUACAUAGCUUAAUGAGGGGAACUCAGGGAACUGAAACAUCUAAGUACCUGAAGGAAGAGAAAGAAAUUCGAUUCCGUAAGUAGCGGCGAGCGAACGCGGAUUAGCCCAAACCAAUAAAGUUUUCUUUAUUGGGGUUGCGGACAUAUCAUAACGAAGAGGUAUCGUAAUUGAAGAGGUUUGGAAAGACCCACCACAGAAGGUAAUAGUCCUGUAUGUUAAACGAGAAGACUUU